GGGUUGUGAGGUUAAGCGACUAAGCGUACACGGUGGAUGCCCUGGCAGUCAGAGGCGAUGAAGGGCGUGCUAAUCUGCGAUAAGCGCCGGUAAGGUGAUAUGAACCGUUAUAACCGGCGAUACCCGAAUGGGGAAACCCAGUGUGAUUCGUCACACUAUCAUUAACUGAAUCCAUAGGUUAAUGAGGCGAACCGGGGGAACUGAAACAUCUAAGUACCCCGAGGAAAAGAAAUCAACCGAGAUUCCCCCAGUAGCGGCGAGCGAACGGGGAGGAGCCCAGAGCCUGAAUCAGCAUGUGUGUUAGUGGAAGCGUCUGGAAAGGCGCGCGAUACAGGGUGACAGCCCCGUACACAAAAGCGCAUGUGCUGUGAGCUCGAUGAGUAGGGCGGGACACGUGGUAUCCUGUCUGAAUAUGGGGGGACCAUCCUCCAAGGCUAAAUACUCCUGACUGACCGAUAGUGAACCAGUACCGUGAGGGAAAGGCGAAAAGAACCCCGGCGAGGGGAGUGAAAAAGAACCUGAAACCGUGUACGUACAAGCAGUGGGAGCACCCUUUGGGUGUGACUGCGUACCUUUUGUAUAAUGGGUCAGCGACUUAUAUUCUGUAGCAAGGUUAACCGAAUAGGGGAGCCGGAGGGAAACCGAGUCUUAACCGGGCGUUAAGUUGCAGGGUAUAGACCCGAAACCCGGUGAUCUAGCCAUGGGCAGGUUGAAGGUUGGGUAACACUAACUGGAGGACCGAACCGACUAAUGUUGAAAAAUUAGCGGAUGACCUGUGGCUGGGGGUGAAAGGCCAAUCAAACCGGGAGAUAGCUGGUUCUCCCCGAAAGCUAUUUAGGUAGCGCCUCGUGAAUUCAUCUCCGGGGGUAGAGCACUGUUUCGGCUAGGGGGCCAUCCCGGCUUACCAACCCGAUGCAAACUGCGAAUACCGGAGAAUGUUAUCACGGGAGACACACGGCGGGUGCUAACGUCCGUCGUGAAGAGGGAAACAACCCAGACCGCCAGCUAAGGUCCCAAAGUCAUGGUUAAGUGGGAAACGAUGUGGGAAGGCCCAGACAGCCAGGAUGUUGGCUUAGAAGCAGCCAUCAUUUAAAGAAAGCGUAAUAGCUCACUGGUCGAGUCGGCCUGCGCGGAAGAUGUAACGGGGCUAAACCAUGCACCGAAGCUGCGGCAGCGACACUGUGUGUUGUUGGGUAGGGGAGCGUUCUGUAAGCCUGUGAAGGUGUGUCGUGAGGCAUGCUGGAGGUAUCAGAAGUGCGAAUGCUGACAUAAGUAACGAUAAAGCGGGUGAAAAGCCCGCUCGCCGGAAGACCAAGGGUUCCUGUCCAACGUUAAUCGGGGCAGGGUGAGUCGACCCCUAAGGCGAGGCCGAAAGGCGUAGUCGAUGGGAAACGGGUUAAUAUUCCCGUACUUGGUGUUACUGCGAAGGGGGGACGGAGAAGGCUAUGUUGGCCGGGCGACGGUUGUCCCGGUUUAAGCGUGUAGGUGUGUGUUCCAGGUAAAUCCGGUUCACUUUAACACUGAGGCGUGACGACGAGGCACUACGGUGCUGAAGCAACAAAUGCCCUGCUUCCAGGAAAAGCCUCUAAGCAUCAGGUAACAUCAAAUCGUACCCCAAACCGACACAGGUGGUCAGGUAGAGAAUACCAAGGCGCUUGAGAGAACUCGGGUGAAGGAACUAGGCAAAAUGGUGCCGUAACUUCGGGAGAAGGCACGCUGACACGUAGGUGAAGUGAUUUACUCAUGGAGCUGAAGUCAGUCGAAGAUACCAGCUGGCUGCAACUGUUUAUUAAAAACACAGCACUGUGCAAACACGAAAGUGGACGUAUACGGUGUGACGCCUGCCCGGUGCCGGAAGGUUAAUUGAUGGGGUCAGCGCAAGCGAAGCUCCUGAUCGAAGCCCCGGUAAACGGCGGCCGUAACUAUAACGGUCCUAAGGUAGCGAAAUUCCUUGUCGGGUAAGUUCCGACCUGCACGAAUGGCGUAAUGAUGGCCAGGCUGUCUCCACCCGAGACUCAGUGAAAUUGAACUCGCUGUGAAGAUGCAGUGUACCCGCGGCAAGACGGAAAGACCCCGUGAACCUUUACUAUAGCUUGACACUGAACAUUGAGCCUUGAUGUGUAGGAUAGGUGGGAGGCUUUGAAGUGUGGACGCCAGUCUGCAUGGAGCCGACCUUGAAAUACCACCCUUUAAUGUUUGAUGUUCUAACGUGGACCCGUUACCCGGGUUGCGGACAGUGUCUGGUGGGUAGUUUGACUGGGGCGGUCUCCUCCUAAAGAGUAACGGAGGAGCACGAAGGUUGGCUAAUCCUGGUCGGACAUCAGGAGGUUAGUGCAAUGGCAUAAGCCAGCUUGACUGCGAGCGUGACGGCGCGAGCAGGUGCGAAAGCAGGUCAUAGUGAUCCGGUGGUUCUGAAUGGAAGGGCCAUCGCUCAACGGAUAAAAGGUACUCCGGGGAUAACAGGCUGAUACCGCCCAAGAGUUCAUAUCGACGGCGGUGUUUGGCACCUCGAUGUCGGCUCAUCACAUCCUGGGGCUGAAGUAGGUCCCAAGGGUAUGGCUGUUCGCCAUUUAAAGUGGUACGCGAGCUGGGUUUAGAACGUCGUGAGACAGUUCGGUCCCUAUCUGCCGUGGGCGCUGGAGAACUGAGGGGGGCUGCUCCUAGUACGAGAGGACCGGAGUGGACGCAUCACUGGUGUUCGGGUUGUCAUGCCAAUGGCACUGCCCGGUAGCUAAAUGCGGAAGAGAUAAGUGCUGAAAGCAUCUAAGCACGAAACUUGCCCCGAGAUGAGUUCUCCCUGAGACUUUAGGUCUCCUGAAGGAACGUUGAAGACGACGACGUUGAUAGGCCGGGUGUGUAAGCGCAGCGAUGCGUUGAGCUAACCGGUACUAAUGAACCGUGAGGCUUAACCUUACAACGCCGAAG
RNAcentral lists this ribosomal RNA (2925 nucleotides) under Salmonella enterica. Its description in RNAcentral is "bacterial LSU rRNA". It matches the Rfam family "Bacterial large subunit ribosomal RNA". Lineage: Bacteria; Pseudomonadati; Pseudomonadota; Gammaproteobacteria; Enterobacterales; Enterobacteriaceae. RNAcentral also lists the same sequence under 5 other names. The record is from RNAcentral.